Molecule: ribosomal RNA, 253 nt
Filed under: uncultured bacterium
Lineage: Bacteria
Description: partial 16S ribosomal RNA
Rfam family: Bacterial small subunit ribosomal RNA
Source: RNAcentral
UACGUAGGGUGCAAGCGUUGUCCGGAAUUAUUGGGCGUAAAGAGCUCGUAGGCGGUUUGUCGCGUCGAAUGUGAAAACCCGGGGCUCAACUCCGGGCCUGCUUUCGAUACGGGCAGACUGGAGGUAUGCAGGGGAGAACGGAAUUCCUGGUGUAGCGGUGAAAUGCGCAGAUAUCAGGAGGAACACCGGUGGCGAAGGCGGUUCUCUGGGCAUGUCCUGACGCUGAGGAGCGAAAGUGUGGGGAGCGAACAGG